GCCUAACACAUGCAAGUCGCACGCGAAAGGCUCCUUCGGGGGCCGAGUAGAGUGGCGGACGGGUGCGUAACACGUGAGCGACCUGCCCUCAUGUGGGGGAUAACCAGGGGAAACCCUGGCUAAUACCGCAUAGGCCACCGGGCUACAUGGCUUGGUGGUGAAAGGUCCUUCGGGACUGCGUGAGGAGGGGCUCGCGGCGUAUCAGCUAGUUGGUGAGGUAACGGCUCACCAAGGCGAUGACGCGUAGGGGGUCUGAGAGGAUGGCCCCCCACAUUGGGACUGAGAUACGGCCCAGACUCCUACGGGAGGCAGCAGUGGGGAAUAUUGGGCAAUGGCCGAAAGGCUGACCCAGCGACGCCGCGUGCGGGAGGACGCCCUUCGGGGUGUAAACCGCUGUCAGUGGGGACGAAUCCCUUGGGGAGGUAAUGCCUCGAGGUUGACGGUACCCGCAGAGGAAGCACCGGCUAACUCCGUGCCAGCAGCCGCGGUAAUACGGAGGGUGCAAGCGUUGUUCGGAAUUACUGGGCGUAAAGCGCGCGCAGGCGGCUCCUUAAGUCUUCUGUGAAAUCCCGGGGCUCAACCCCGGGUCUGCAGGGGAUACUGGGGAGCUAGAGACAGGUAGAGGCCAGUGGAAUUCCAGGUGUAGCGGUGGAAUGCGUAGAUAUCUGGAGGAACACCAGAGGCGAAGGCGGCUGGCUGGGCCUGUUCUGACGCUGAGGCGCGAAAGCGUGGGGAGCAAACCGGAUUAGAUACCCGGGUAGUCCACGCCGUAAACGAUGGGCACUAGGCGCUGGGGGGAUCGGCCCUCUCAGUGUCGAAGCUAACGCGAUAAGUGCCCCGCCUGGGGAGUACGGUCGCAAGACUGAAACUCAAAGGAGUUGACGGGGGCCCGCACAAGCGGUGGAGCAUGUGGUUUAAUUCGACGCAACGCGAAGAACCUUACCUGGGUUUGACAUGCACGUGAAAGCCUGGUGAAAGCCAGGCCCCCCUUCGGGGCACGUGCACAGGUGCUGCAUGGCUGUCGUCAGCUCGUGUCGUGAGAUGUUGGGUUAAGUCCCGCAACGAGCGCAACCCCUAUCCCGUGUUGCCAGCGAGUCAAGUCGGGGACUCUCGGGAGACUGCCGGUGAUAAACCGGAGGAAGGUGGGGAUGACGUCAAGUCAUCAUGGUCCUUACAUCCAGGGCUACACACGUGCUACAAUGGCCGGUACAGAGGGCAGCAAUACCGCGAGGUGGAGCGAAUCCCAAAAAGCCGGUCCAAGUUCGGAUUGCAGUCUGUAACUCGACUGCAUGAAGCUGGAAUCGCUAGUAAUCGUGGAUCAGCCACGCCACGGUGAAUACGUUCCCGGGCCUUGUACACACCGCCCGUCACGCCAUGGAAGUCGGGAGCGCCCGAAGUCCGUGACCCAACCCUUCGGGGAGGGAGCGGCCGAAGGCGAGUUCGAUGACUGGGGCGAAGUCGUAACAAGGUAGCCGUAGGGGAACCUGCGGCUGGAUCACCUCCUUA
Molecule: ribosomal RNA, 1506 nt
Filed under: uncultured bacterium
Lineage: Bacteria
Description: bacterial SSU rRNA
Rfam family: Bacterial small subunit ribosomal RNA
Source: RNAcentral